UACAAUUUAGUUUAGGAUGAACAGAAAUUUUUGGAGUUUUAGGAGAUGGUUUGACUCCAUUAAUUGUAA
RNAcentral lists this transfer RNA (69 nucleotides) under Sinelater perroti. Its description in RNAcentral is "tRNA-Gln". It matches the Rfam family "tRNA". From Rfam's summary of the family: Transfer RNA (tRNA) molecules are approximately 80 nucleotides in length. Their secondary structure includes four short double-helical elements and three loops (D, anti-codon, and T loops). Further hydrogen bonds mediate the characteristic L-shaped molecular structure. tRNAs have two regions of fundamental functional importance: the anti-codon, which is responsible for specific mRNA codon recognition, and the 3' end, to which the tRNAs corresponding amino acid is attached (by aminoacyl-tRNA synthetases). tRNAs cope with the degeneracy of the genetic code in two manners: having more than one tRNA (with a specific anti-codon) for a particular amino acid; and 'wobble' base-pairing, i.e. permitting non-standard base-pairing at the 3rd anti-codon position. The record is from RNAcentral. Lineage: Eukaryota; Metazoa; Arthropoda; Insecta; Coleoptera; Elateridae.